CCCCACUCAAUCUGCUGACUUACUUCUCCAGCCUUCUCCUCACCUCUCUAGAUCUCUGCAAGUCACUGGUAAAAAGCUCUCCUUAUUUCUGUCGUCUGUAUAGCUGGUCUAAACUGUUCCCCCGCUCCAAAAUCCAGUGACACUUCUUGGGUUGACUGUGUUAUUUUGGGAGCACACAGAAGCCCCUCAAGAUCUCUACUGCACUGCCGAUUCUGCAGUUUUAAUUUCCGUUGUGAGGGAUGAUCCCCUUUUAGCAUUCCACUCGCAACUUCUUAAUUUUAUCUGUUUGUUAGUUCUCCUUUUUUUUGUUUCUGAUGUAUUGUUGGGGCUUAAAUAACCCCUUUCUCACUGUAUAUAUGGGGGGGGGGAACGCUCCUUGAAUUUGUGUCAAUAUCUUACUGGAGAGUCCAGCGCUAGCUCAUGGGGUCUGGAGGUGAAGGCACCUGAGGGCAGUCUCGCUCCCUUGCGCUGAGGUUCUCCCCUAAAUUUCUUCUUUUUAAAGUAUCUUAAAGUCCAGUUCUAGUGUGGGGAAACCCCUUUUUGCACUGCUGAGCGUCUGCUCCCGGGAAAUCCACCCGAGUAGGGGCAACUUACACCUCCUGUUGCUCCUGCUUCGCCUCUCCAGGUGCCGAGUGUGUCUCGAGCAGCUCAGAGCUCAAACUCUGACCAAACGCUGAGCGCACUAGUAAUUUCAUAUCAUGUCAUGUAUUCCAACAUAGCAGCAAAUAGUACAAUAAAGCCAAUUUUGACCUGAGUCCAUGAUUUGGAUAAAUGCAGUGUUCCUUGCUGCCAGUUCCAGAUCAAAGGAUGGCAACCAACAAAAUAGUUCUGUUAUUGCAAAGGCUUCUGGCUGUGCAAUGGAACUUAACUUCUCUCUCCACUUCCCAUGUCCAUCCCCUAAAUAAGCUCUGGGGGUUCUCCAGCCCUCUGGAGCAGAUUUUGGGGAAGUAUAAGGGUAUGCAGGGAGAGAAGAGGGAGAAGAAGUUCUAUGGUGCCAAUGGAAAUCCUUGAGCAAAUGGAACUUCUUCAUUGGACAGCACCCCAAGGGUGUGACAACACUGCAUAUGUAGGAUGAUAGUAUGUUCCAACCUUCUGCUGGCUGGGUGAGGUCUGUGCUUGUUUUUGGAGGCAGGUGGCGCUGUGGGUUAAACCACAGAGCCUAGGGCUUGCCGAUCAGAAGGUCGGCGGUUCGAAUCCCCGCGAUGGGGUGAGCUCCCGUUUCUUGGUCCCAGUUCCUGCCAACCUAGCAGUUCGAAAGCACGUCAAACUGCAAGUAGAUAAAUAGGUACGGCUCUGGUGGGAAGGUAAAUGGUGUUUCUGUGUGCUGCUCUGGUCCUCCAGAAGCGGCUUAGUCAUGCUGGCCACAUAACCUGGAAGCUGUAUGCCAGCUCCCUUGUCCAGUAAAGCGUGCGCUGCAACCCCAGAGUCGUCCGUGACUGGACCUAAUGGUCAGGGGUCCCUUUACCUUUACCUUCACCUUCUAUGCAGUGGAGUUCACCUCAGCCUCAGUACUCAAGUUAAAUUGCUCCAUUUGAGCACCUCUCAUUUUUGGGGGGGAAUGUGCUGGACUAGAGAUUUGUCCCACCCUGACAAAUGUGUUGAAUUAAAACCAAUAAGCAUAAAUAAAUAAAUAAAUAAAUAAAACCACACCCACCAAGUAUUGCUUUAAGGAUAAGGCUGACUUUCAAAGUGCUAUCACCAGAUACUACUACUACUGUACUACUACUACUACUAAUUUAUUUAUACCCUGCCCAACUGGCUGGGUUUCCCCAGCCGCUCUGGGUGACUCCCAAUAGAAUAUUAAAAACAUGAUAAAACAUCAAACAUUAAAAACUUCCCUAAAUAAUGAUGUAUAAGGUUGGGAGCUUUUCUCAUUCUUCCCCCAAAUGUUCAGGUUUUGGUAAUAUUUUAAAAUAUAUUUUCCUAAAAGAAACUAUGAAAGGCAAACCUAGAUUUAUUCAUGUCAUAUUUCAGUACAGAAAGAACCAGAUUUUGUUUUAAAAAACAUUUUAUUGGAUUUUAUAAUUUUAUGACACUAAAAAUGAAAACCAUUAAGUAAGACCUAGAUUUUCAGCUGGUCAGGACAGUGUUCUUUGUGUGUGUUAGGUGUCCAGCAAGCAUUCCUUCAUGAAUCCCAGAUGCUCAAGCAAUCAAGGGUGACCAGUUCUUCAUGUCAUGCGUAUCUUUACAGAAGUUGCAGAAUCAUAACUUAUUCUACAGUGUGCUACAUAGUAAUUUUUGUCUAGGUUAAUUUAUUCACAUGAGUGUUUUGGGUACAAUCCUGCAUACAAGCCACUGCAUUUAGCACUACUUAUUUCUAUCCCCCAAUAUCUUAAACACUCUUAAUAGUGCAUUAGAUCACACACUUCAAUAAAAUGGCUCAGUUUGUCAGAGUUUAGUAUUUAUAAGCUUCUCAUGCUCCACCUGAAAGAUAAUUUCAGUGUUUGAAAUCUUCUCAAGGCAUUUUUCACUUCUUUAUUCCUCAGGCUGUAGAUCAAGGGGUUGAGCAUGGGAAUCACCACAGUGUAGAAGACAGAAACCCAUUUGUCCUGAUCCAUGGCAUAGUUAGAACUUGGCCGCAGAUACAUGAAGACCGUUGUUCCAUAGAAGACAGUGACAGCCACCAGGUGUGAGGCGCAUGUUGAAAAAGCCUUUCGCUUCCCCUCUGUUGAGUGGAUUCUCAGGAUAGCAGACAGGAUGAAGGCGUAUGACACCACAAUUUCCACUGAAGUGAAUAUGCCCAGGACUGUGGCAAAUACAAAGAGAACCAUUUCAUGGAUGCUUGUGUCAGUGCAGGAAAGCGCCAAUAGUGGGGGAACAUCACAGAAGAAAUGGUUGAUGACAGAGCCACAAAAAGAUAGCAUGAAAGUGGAAAUCGUUUGGGUCAUUGCAUUCAUGAAGCCAACCAGGUAGGAUCCAGCCACCAUCAGAAGACACAUAUUGGGAGACAUAGUAGCCAUAUACAGCAGAGG
RNAcentral lists this long non-coding RNA (2972 nucleotides) under Podarcis lilfordi (Lilford's wall lizard). The record is from RNAcentral. Lineage: Eukaryota; Metazoa; Chordata; Lepidosauria; Squamata; Lacertidae.